AAAUUGAAGAGUUUGAUCAUGGCUCAGAUUGAACGCUGGCGGCAGGCCUAACACAUGCAAGUCGAACGGUAACAGGAAGCAGCUUGCUGCUUCGCUGACGAGUGGCGGACGGGUGAGUAAUGUCUGGGAAACUGCCUGAUGGAGGGGGGAUAACUACUGGAAACGGUGGCUAAUACCGCAUAACGUCGCAAGACCAAAGAGGGGGACCUUCGGGCCUCUUGCCAUCAGAUGUGCCCAGAUGGGAUUAGCUAGUUGGUGAGGUAACGGCUCACCAAGGCGACGAUCCCUAGCUGGUCUGAGAGGAUGACCAGCCACACUGGAACUGAGACACGGUCCAGACUCCUACGGGAGGCAGCAGUGGGGAAUAUUGCACAAUGGGCGCAAGCCUGAUGCAGCCAUGCCGCGUGUAUGAAGAAGGCCUUCGGGUUGUAAAGUACUUUCAGCGGGGAGGAAGGUGUUGUGGUUAAUAACC
This 472-nucleotide ribosomal RNA is filed under the name Salmonella enterica. RNAcentral describes it as "bacterial SSU rRNA". It matches the Rfam family "Bacterial small subunit ribosomal RNA", at positions 1 to 468 of the family's 1533-position model. The record is from RNAcentral. Lineage: Bacteria; Pseudomonadati; Pseudomonadota; Gammaproteobacteria; Enterobacterales; Enterobacteriaceae.